Long non-coding RNA from Amphiprion ocellaris (clown anemonefish), 902 nucleotides. RefSeq lists it as uncharacterized. NCBI's taxonomy places the organism in Eukaryota, Metazoa, Chordata, Actinopteri, Pomacentridae. The transcript is spliced from 3 exons. The record is from RefSeq and is a predicted model, not a curated record.
UUUGUAUCAUUAAUACAAGUUUAAAAAACUGAUUCAAAUGACCAAAUUAGUUAAGUAAAGAAUACACAUACUGUGCAGCCAUUUUAAUAAUUUCAGGGUAAAAUUGUUACAGGCCCCGCCCCUCUUUUGGUCGCCCGUUCCCCUGCCAGUGUGUCGCCGGUCUAUGGGGCUCUCUGCAGCUGCUGAUCAGUGGAUUGGUCGCAGCUGCGGGAGUCCCACACCUGUAGCGCAUUUCCAUCUGUUGCUAUAAAGACCGGCUUCACACGGCAGGGGACGGCGUAUCGUACUGUUCAGUUCGUGGACAGGCUCUAGACCGACAAGUCCUGGAAAGCCCACCAGCUGCCGGUGCAGCCUACGUUCUCCCCCCUGCCGUCCUUGAGUGAAGGACUGGACCCCUGCUGCUCUAGCCAAGUAAGGGCAUGGACCCUUCCCCUCUCCCUGGACUGCUCCGGCCAGCCGACGAGGGCCACCCAGACUGCCGAUCUCUGGAGCCUGACCCCAUCCCCUCCAUUCUGCGAAAUUGUUGGCCUUGGAUGAGGAGGUCCAGAUGAUGAUACCACUGCUUUGCAUCUCGCCAGUCCCGUCCUGCAACUCAUCAGCAUCAACGUCCCCCUCCCAGUUCAAAUCCGGAAAAAGGAAGCAGCGUGCAUAUGCUGAGGUUAUAGAGUACAUGGACGGCUCUGAUCAGCAGUACUUUCCAUGAGCUGAAAGGGACACUGACGUGACGUCUGUAUUGCUUGACAAUAUGAAAGACAUGAGGGGACUGAUGGAAAGAAUGGUGACUGUGAUGGAGUACAUGGCUCACAAAUUAGCACAAGAACAUUGUUUAUUUUUUGUGCAUUCUUUUUAUUUGUAAUUGUGUUGUUUUUUGGAAGUUUUCAAUCUGAGUAAAUAUAAGUGUG